This 258-nucleotide ribosomal RNA is filed under the name uncultured soil bacterium. RNAcentral's name for it is "partial 16S ribosomal RNA". It matches the Rfam family "Bacterial small subunit ribosomal RNA", at positions 26 to 279 of the family's 1533-position model. The record is from RNAcentral.
AGGACGAACGCUGGCGGCGUGCUUAACACAUGCAAGUGGAGCGACGAACCGGGGCUUGCCCCGGGGCAGAGCCGCGAACGGGUGAGUAACACGUGGGUAACCCACCUCGAUGAUUGGGACAACCCGGGGAAACUCGGGCUAAUACCAAAUGUGCUCGUAGACCAUGAGGUCCAUGAGUAAAGAUAGCUUCGGCCUUCGCAUCGAGACGGCCCGCGGCCCAUUAGCUUGUUGGUGAGGUAACGCUCACCAAGGCGACGA